AAUACCCUGCCGGGUUCGUGAUGCGCUUUUUUAAACCCACAUUUCGUUAUAUGGGAUUCCGGUCCUUACCGUGGUUUGCAGGCCUCCCGGCUCUUGCCGGAAGUUGGAAGCAGUAAAGCGGUAAGCAGGAGACCCACCUGCUAUCUGUGUGCAGGUUAUAACUGAGUGUACACGGCUUCGGCGGGGUAUUC
RNAcentral lists this non-coding RNA (191 nucleotides) under Clostridiales bacterium. RNAcentral describes it as "6S RNA". It matches the Rfam family "6S / SsrS RNA". Rfam says of the family: E. coli 6S RNA was the first non coding RNA to be sequenced, but its function was unknown until recently. The record is from RNAcentral. Lineage: Bacteria; Bacillati; Bacillota; Clostridia; Eubacteriales.